RNAcentral lists this ribosomal RNA (432 nucleotides) under uncultured bacterium. RNAcentral describes it as "partial 16S ribosomal RNA". It matches the Rfam family "Bacterial small subunit ribosomal RNA", at positions 29 to 506 of the family's 1533-position model. The record is from RNAcentral.
AACGAACGCUGGCGGCAGGCCUAACACAUGCAAGUCGAGCGAGAUCUUCGGGUCUAGCGGCGGACGGGUGAGUAACGCGUGGGAAUAUGCCUCUUGGCACGGAAUAGCCUCGGGAAACUGGGAGUAAUACCGUAUGUGCCCUUUGGGGGAAAGAUUUAUCGCCAAGAGAUUAGCCCGCGUUGGAUUAGGUAGUUGGUGGGGUAAUGGCCUACCAAGCCGACGAUCCAUAGCUGGUUUGAGAGGAUGAUCAGCCACACUGGGACUGAGACACGGCCCAGACUCCUACGGGAGGCAGCAGUGGGGAAUCUUAGACAAUGGGGGCAACCCUGAUCUAGCCAUGCCGCGUGAGUGAUGAAGGCCUUAGGGUUGUAAAGCUCUUUCAGCUGGGAAGAUAAUGACGGUACCAGCAGAAGAAGCCCCGGCUAACUCCGU